Molecule: long non-coding RNA, 274 nt
Organism: Haliotis rubra (blacklip abalone)
Lineage: Eukaryota; Metazoa; Mollusca; Gastropoda; Lepetellida; Haliotidae
Exons: 3
Source: RefSeq, a predicted model, not a curated record
AGCUUUUCAAGACGAAUACUAUGGCUCAAAGUUGGCAGAAGUAACAAAGAUCCAUAUGUUGUAGGUCACUAUUUCCUGCACUACGUGGAAAGUAUUGGAGGGGUUCCCCGCUCCAUAAGGAUGGACAGGGGGACUGAGAACGUAUUUAUUGAAGAUCUACAAAAAGCAAUGAGGUGGUCACACACGGAUGAUAUGGCAGGAGAAAACAGUGUCUUGUAUGGCAGUUCUCACAGAAAUCAGAGAAUAGAAAAAUGGUGGUUGUCCUUGAGACAAA